Impatiens glandulifera is the source of this 357-nucleotide long non-coding RNA. RefSeq lists it as uncharacterized. The record is from RefSeq and is a predicted model, not a curated record. Lineage: Eukaryota; Viridiplantae; Streptophyta; Magnoliopsida; Ericales; Balsaminaceae. The transcript has 5 exons.
GUUUAUAUGGGUCCAGGAAGUAAAUUUUACUUCCAAAAGUAUAUCCAAACGUUAUUGGAGGAUGAUUUCAAAACAGUUGUAGGAGUAAGUCAUGUCUUGUUGGCGUCAUUUGUGAUCUUCUUGCUCCUGAAUAUUAAUGAUAAUCUUGGUGGUUGAAACAGAGCUUCAAGUUAUUAUGAAAAAAAUGGCUAUGGAAAUCUCAUACACCUGGGGCAUUUGUAGCUGUAGGGGCUGCUUUAUUGGUUGAAGCUGCAGUAUGGGUGAUCCAGAUGCACAAUAUGAACUAGGCUGUAAGCUUAGAGUUGAUAAUAAAUAUGUUCAGUUGGGUCAUCAAGCAUUCUAUUUGGAGAAGGCUAG